AGGCCGCAGCAAAAAGCCAAAUCAAGAGUUUCAUUUCUGCAAUCCAAAUGGAAACCGAAGGAAAAUUUUACAGAAUGUGAGACAAAAAGAAGCCCCAGUGUGUUAAAACUUCUCGAAACCGAAGGAGAUGAUACUACCCUCGAUGCCCAAAACGGAGAAAACCCCGAAACCUUCCUGCUCAGUCAAGCCAAGAUUUAAUGCCUACCCUUCCUGCUCAGUCAAGCCAAGAUUUAAUGCCUACCCUUCCUGCUGAACUCAUCACAGAAAUCUUGUUAAAGCUUGCA
This 284-nucleotide long non-coding RNA is filed under the name Nicotiana tabacum (common tobacco). RNAcentral describes it as "long non-coding RNA (NTAB_LNC005700)". The record is from RNAcentral. Lineage: Eukaryota; Viridiplantae; Streptophyta; Magnoliopsida; Solanales; Solanaceae.